RNAcentral lists this ribosomal RNA (213 nucleotides) under uncultured bacterium. RNAcentral describes it as "partial 16S ribosomal RNA". It matches the Rfam family "Bacterial small subunit ribosomal RNA", at positions 123 to 334 of the family's 1533-position model. The record is from RNAcentral.
AACCUGCCCUGUACUGUGGAAUAAUCAUUGGAAACGAUGACUAAUACCGCAUGUGGUCCUCGGAAGGCAUCUUCUGAGGAAGAAAGGAUUUAUUCGGUACAGGAUGGGCCCGCAUCUGAUUAGCUAGUUGGUGAGAUAACAGCCCACCAAGGCGACGAUCAGUAGCCGACCUGAGAGGGUGAUCGGCCACAUUGGGACUGAGAUACGGCCCAG